Molecule: ribosomal RNA, 463 nt
Filed under: Ameerega trivittata (three-striped poison frog)
Lineage: Eukaryota; Metazoa; Chordata; Amphibia; Anura; Dendrobatidae
Description: partial 16S ribosomal RNA
Rfam family: Bacterial large subunit ribosomal RNA
Source: RNAcentral
GUAUCCUAANCGUGCGAAGGUAGCGUAAUCACUUGUUCUUUAAUGAGGACUAGUAUGAAUGGCCCCACGAGGGCUGCACUGUCUCCUUUUUCUAAUCAAUGAAACUAAUCUCCCCGUGAAGAAGCGGGAAUUAUCCUAUAAGACGAGAAGACCCUAUGGAGCUUUAAACAAUUGAAACAUUUGCUUUUCUCCUAACUCCUCCCGAGCCCUUUAUUUUUAUUUAAGCAUUAUUAUUUCUAGUUUUAGGUUGGGGUGACCACGGAGCAAAACUAAACCUCCAUGAAGAAAUGAAUAUUUUUAAGCCACAAACUACUUUUUUAAGCAUCAACAAAUUGACCUUCAUUGACCCAAUAUAUUGAUCAACGAACCAAGUUACCCUAGGGAUAACAGCGCAAUCUACUUCAAGAGCUCAUAUCGACAAGUAGGUUUACGACCUCGAUGUUGGAUCAGGGUAUCCUAGUGG